Molecule: long non-coding RNA, 719 nt
Filed under: Cairina moschata (Muscovy duck)
Lineage: Eukaryota; Metazoa; Chordata; Aves; Anseriformes; Anatidae
Description: domestica (muscovy Duck (domestic type)) lncRNA (ENSCMMG00000008046.1)
Source: RNAcentral
UAUAAAAAAUAUAAAAUCAUUUGUUAGAUGUAUUAGAAAGAUGUUAGGUUAGUUAGAUGUAUUUAGAAAGAGCAUGUGAUACAAUAAGAUUAUCAUUCUUCACAGGUUCUUCUGUUUUGCAAAUUCUAAACUUUCUACAAGUUACCUCAGGCCAUUUGCUUCAUGAUAGUAUCAAGAGAUGAAACCCAGUGCAGCAGCAUGACAGAAGAUACAUUGAACCAGUCAGCAGACCCAUGAAGAGAGAAACCGGACCUUUCUGUGGAAAUUUUACCAGAUGAGUGAUUUUAAACCUGACAUCAACAAUUACAAUGCCCACAGAACCAACUGCAUGUGAAAGGACUACAGUGAAAAUUCAGAGGUGUCCUGUUGUCCUUCAGGUACUUAAUGAUUUUGAUUCACAUUUAUCAAACAAACCCAUCAUCAUUAAGUCCUCUGGACAGACGAAGAACAAAAUGGCUGAUUGGCUUUAUGGAGAGUACAAAAGAAAAGGAAAAGCAGUUGAAAAGAGUAAAAAUAAAAUCACAUUAUCCUUGAUGACUGCAGGCAGUUUAAACAUGACAGCUGGUUCUUCGUUUGUGGACAUCUGCAGAAAGCUAACAGAAGUCAAUUUCCUGUGGAGAGCAACUUUUUGUCUGAGUGAUAACCACACCUUUCAGCUAAAUGCACAACAGCCUGCUAAAGCUCUUUGUACACGAGACAGUGAACUGCACAAAUCAUGA